RNAcentral lists this ribosomal RNA (401 nucleotides) under uncultured bacterium. RNAcentral's name for it is "bacterial SSU rRNA". It matches the Rfam family "Bacterial small subunit ribosomal RNA", at positions 355 to 773 of the family's 1533-position model. The record is from RNAcentral.
UCGGGAAUUUUGGGCAAUGGGCGAAAGCCUGACCCAGCAACGCCGCGUGAGGGAUGAAGUAUUUCGGUAUGUAAACCUCGAAAGAAUGGGAAGAAUAAAUGACGGUACCAUUUAUAAGCUCCGGCUAACUACGUGCCAGCAGCCGCGGUAAUACGUAGGGAGCAAGCGUUGUUCGGAUUUACUGGGCGUAAAGGGCGCGUAGGCGGCGCGGUAAGUCACUUGUGAAAUCUCUGAGCUUAACUCAGAACGGCCAAGUGAUACUGCUGUGCUAGAGUGCGGAAGAGGCAACCGGAAUUCUUGGUGUAGCGGUGAAAUGCGUAGAUAUCAAGAGGAACACUUGAGGCGAAGGCGGGUUGCUGGGCCGACACUGACGCUGAUGCGCGAAAGCCAGGGGCGCAAAC